This 463-nucleotide ribosomal RNA is filed under the name uncultured Rhodobacter sp. Its description in RNAcentral is "bacterial SSU rRNA". It matches the Rfam family "Bacterial small subunit ribosomal RNA", at positions 63 to 570 of the family's 1533-position model. Lineage: Bacteria; Pseudomonadati; Pseudomonadota; Alphaproteobacteria; Rhodobacterales. The record is from RNAcentral.
CGAACGGGCGUAGCAAUACGUCAUUGGCAGACGGGUGAGUAACGCGUGGGAACGUACCUUUUGGUUCGGAACAACUGAGGGAAACUUCACCUAAUAGCGGAUAAGCCCUUACGGGGAAAGAUUUAUCGCCGAAAGAUCGGCCCGCGUCUGAUUAGCUAGUUGGUGAGGUAAUGGCUCACCAAGGCGACGAUCAGUAGCUGGUCUGAGAGGAUGAUCAGCCACAUUGGGACUGAGACACGGCCCAAACUCCUACGGGAGGCAGCAGUGGGGAAUAUUGGACAAUGGGGGCAACCCUGAUCCAGCCAUGCCGCGUGAGUGAUGAAGGCCCUAGGGUUGUAAAGCUCUUUUGUGCGGGAAGAUAAUGACGGUACCGCAAGAAUAAGCCCCGGCUAACUUCGUGCCAGCAGCCGCGGUAAUACGAAGGGGGCUAGCGUUGCUCGGAAUCACUGGGCGUAAAGGGUGC